CCAAUAGCGUAUAUUAAAGUUGUUGCAGUUAAAAAGCUCGUAGUUGAAUUUCGGAAUCAAUUUAUUGGUCGUGCAAUAGUACGUACUGGUUUUAUUGGUUUCUCCCUUCUGAUGAACCAUGAUGUCAUUAAUUUGGUGUUAUGGGGAAUCAGGACUGUUACUUUGAAAAAAUUAGAGUGUUUAAAGCAGGCUCACGCUUGAAUACAUUAGCAUGGAAUAAUGAAAUAGGACGUUUGAUUCUAUUUUGUUGGUUUCUAGGAUCGACGUAAUGAUUAAUAGGGAUAGUUGGGGGCAUUAGUAUUCAAUUGUCAGAGGUGAAAUUCUUGGAUUUAUUGAAGACCAACUACUGCGAAAGCAUUUGCCAAGGAUGUUUUCAUUAAUCAAGAACGAAAGUUAGGGGAUCGAAGACGAUCAGAUACCGUCGUAGUCUUAACCAUAAACUAUGCUGACUAGGGAUCGGAUGAUGUUAAUUUUUUAAUGACUCAUUCGGCGCCUUACG
Molecule: ribosomal RNA, 499 nt
Filed under: uncultured Glomeromycotina
Lineage: Eukaryota; Fungi; Glomeromycota
Description: partial small subunit ribosomal RNA
Rfam family: Eukaryotic small subunit ribosomal RNA
Source: RNAcentral